UACGUAGGGUGCGAGCGUUAUUCGGAUUUACUGGGCGUAAAGCGCACCUAGGUGGCUUCUUAAGUUGGAUGUGAAAUCUCCCGGCUUAACCGGGAGGCGCCAUUCAAUACUGAGGAGCUUGAGGCCAGCAGGGGAAGGUGGAAUUCCCGGUGUAGUGGUGGAAUGCGUAGAGAUCGGGAGGAACACCAGUGGCGAAAGCGACCUUCUGGGCUGCGCCUGACACUCAAGUGCGAAAGCGUGGGGAGCAAACAGG
Molecule: ribosomal RNA, 253 nt
Filed under: uncultured bacterium
Lineage: Bacteria
Description: partial 16S ribosomal RNA
Rfam family: Bacterial small subunit ribosomal RNA
Source: RNAcentral